GCCAGACGCGGGGGCGGGGUAAGAAGUUGAGUGACAGGCAAGGCAGCAUCCACAUGACAGGCGGCGCCGACGGGAUCCUGCCCCUGAGCUUUCAUGAGCUGUUGAACCAUCCGGAAUUCACAGGCCUGUCAUGAGAGACACGAUGAGAAGUCCUUAAAGGUAGAUCGCUGAUUCACAGGGGAGCAGGCGGAGGCAAGGGCACCAAAUCAUCCUCGUGCACCUACUAUGCUGCGUGUCAACCGGAACAUACAAAUAAUUUCCACCCCCUC
This 269-nucleotide long non-coding RNA is filed under the name Pan troglodytes (chimpanzee). RNAcentral's name for it is "long non-coding RNA NONPTRT008391". The record is from RNAcentral. Lineage: Eukaryota; Metazoa; Chordata; Mammalia; Primates; Hominidae.